GAUGAACGCUGGCGGCGUGCCUAAUACAUGCAAGUCGAACGCACAGCGAAAGGUGCUUGCACCUUUCAAGUGAGUGGCGAACGGGUGAGUAACACGUGGAUAACCUACCUCAAGUUGGGGAUAACAUUUGGAGACAGAUGCUAAUACCGAAUAAAACUUAGUAUCGCAUGAUACCAGGUUAAAAGGCGCUACGGCGUCACCUAGAGAUGGAUCCGCGGUGCAUUAGUUAGUUGUGGGUAAAGGCUUACCAAGACAAUGAUGCAUAGCCGAGUUGAGAGACUGAUCGGCCACAUUGGACUGAGAC
Molecule: ribosomal RNA, 304 nt
Filed under: uncultured bacterium
Lineage: Bacteria
Description: bacterial SSU rRNA
Rfam family: Bacterial small subunit ribosomal RNA
Source: RNAcentral